GUGCACUGAAAGCAUCUAACGGAAGAUGCGGUGCCUAUUUUGGCACAGAGUGCAGGUUCGAGUCCUGUCAGUGUACU
RNAcentral lists this transfer RNA (77 nucleotides) under Streptomyces phage MeganTheeKilla. Its description in RNAcentral is "tRNA-OTHER". RNAcentral also lists the same sequence under 2 other names. Lineage: Duplodnaviria; Heunggongvirae; Uroviricota; Caudoviricetes; Stanwilliamsviridae. The record is from RNAcentral.